GACGAACGCUGGCGGCGUGCCUAAUACAUGCAAGUCGAACGCACUCUCGUUUAGAUUGAAGGAGCUUGCUCCUGAUUGAUAAACAUUUGAGUGAGUGGCGGACGGGUGAGUAACACGUGGGUAACCUGCCCUAAAGUGGGGGAUAACAUUUGGAAACAGAUGCUAAUACCGCAUAAAACCUAACACCGCAUGGUGUAGGGUUGAAAGAUGGUUUCGGCUAUCACUUUAGGAUGGACCCGCGGUGCAUUAGUUAGUUGGUGAGGUAAAGGCUCACCAAGACCGUGAUGCAUAGCCGACCUGAGAGGGUAAUCGGCCACACUGGGACUGAGACACGGCCCAGACUCCUACGGGAGGCAGCAGUAGGGAAUCUUCCACAAUGGACGAAAGUCUGAUGGAGCAACGCCGCGUGAGUGCAGAAGGUUUUCGGAUCGUAAAACUCUGUUGUUGGAGAAGAAUGUAUCUGAUAGUAACUGAUCAGGUAGUGACGGUAUCCAACCAGAAAGACC
This 506-nucleotide ribosomal RNA is filed under the name uncultured bacterium. Its description in RNAcentral is "bacterial SSU rRNA". It matches the Rfam family "Bacterial small subunit ribosomal RNA", at positions 28 to 493 of the family's 1533-position model. The record is from RNAcentral.